This 22-nucleotide non-coding RNA is filed under the name Rattus norvegicus (Norway rat). The record is from RNAcentral. Lineage: Eukaryota; Metazoa; Chordata; Mammalia; Rodentia; Muridae.
AGGCGACCAGAGUUUUGUUGGA